This is a long non-coding RNA of Bactrocera neohumeralis, 883 nucleotides long. RefSeq lists it as uncharacterized. The record is from RefSeq and is a predicted model, not a curated record. The transcript has 3 exons. NCBI's taxonomy places the organism in Eukaryota, Metazoa, Arthropoda, Insecta, Diptera, Tephritidae.
UAAAAAAUCGCAUGCGAGUUCUUUCAUUUGACACCUCAAUCGUCAAAUUGCUGCUAAUUCACUAACAACAAACAUUUCAAGGAGCAGCAAAAGCUACCGUAAUGUAGUAGGCAUGGAGAGAGUGCAUUACUCCUUCGCUAUGCUGCGAUGUGACUCACAGACUCCACCGCAUACAACAAACACAACAGCAUCAACGCUGUCGUGGCGAACUCUACACACUCGCUACAUAUUUUUGUUCGGAGUCAGUCAAUGGAAUUUUUCAAUCGCGAUCGGUCAUCGGUCAACUGCCACGUAAGUUCGUGUGUGCGGGAAAAAUAGUAAUAAACGCGUAAGAAAUUUCUAGUAAAAGUGCUUUUUAAAUUAUUUUGUUUAAUCUAAAAGCUUGAGUCAGAGUUGUGCAAAUUAAAUGAAAAAUUAAAAGUAAAAGUGAAAAGUUGUAAGUGCUCUAGUAAAAGCAAAAAAAAAGUGUGUAAAGUGAAAUAGUGUGCAAAGGUAAUUUUGUUUUCUGUAAUAUGUUCAUGUUUGUGUUUGUUAAUGAUGUUAAUAGCGAAGUGAGUGGAAAUCGCAUAUAGUAUGUCAUUCAUAAAAAGUGCUGCAGUGAAUUAGUGAAUUAAUUUCGUUUUAAAUAUAUUUCGUCAGAUGUUAAGUCAAGUGUUCGCUCGUUUACUGUUCGUCUAUAGUCGUUUCCAACUAACAACGUCGUUCGAAUAAACAAACAAAUAAUAUCAGUCCAGGAGAGUAAUAAAUUGUUUGCUCAAAGACUUAGAGACUAUCUGCAUAUGAAUAUGUGUGAGAAGUGCUUCAAUGUGUGUGGAAAGAAAACAAUUGUUUCGGCUAUAAACAAAAUAUAUAUCACAGCCAAUAAAGCACGAGAACACUUUUU